GACGAACGCUGGCGGCGUGCUUAACACAUGCAAGUCGAACGCUGAAGCUCAGCUUUUGUUGGGUGGAUGAGUGGCGAACGGGUGAGUAACACGUGAGUAACCUGCCCCCUUCUUUGGGAUAACGCCCGGAAACGGGUGCUAAUACUGGAUAUUCACUGGUCUUCGCAUGGGGGUUGGUGGAAAGGGUUUUUCUGGUGGGGGAUGGGCUCGCGGCCUAUCAGCUUGUUGGUGGGGUGAUGGCCUACCAAGGCUUUGACGGGUAGCCGGCCUGAGAGGGUGACCGGUCACAUUGGGACUGAGAUACGGCCCAGACUCCUACGGGAGGCAGCAGAGGGGAAUAUUGCACAAUGGGCGCAAGCCUGAUGCAGCGACGCCGCGUGAGGGAUGGAGGCCUUCGGGUUGUGAACCUCUUUCGCUCAUGGUCAAGCCGCAACAAUGGUUGUGGUGAGGGUAGUGGGUAAAGAAGCGCCGGCUAACUACGUG
Molecule: ribosomal RNA, 483 nt
Filed under: uncultured bacterium
Lineage: Bacteria
Description: partial 16S ribosomal RNA
Rfam family: Bacterial small subunit ribosomal RNA
Source: RNAcentral